UGAGUUGCGAACGGGUGAGUAACGCGUAGGUAACCUGCCUGGUAGCGGGGGAUAACUAUUGGAAACGAUAGCUAAUACCGCAUAACAGUAGAUAUUGCAUGAUAUCUGCUUGAAAGGGGCAAUUGCUCCACUACCAGAUGGACCUGCGUUGUAUUAGCUAGUUGGUGAGGUAACGGCUCACCAAGGCGACGAUACAUAGCCGACCUGAGAGGGUGAUCGGCCACACUGGGACUGAGACACGGCCCAG
RNAcentral lists this ribosomal RNA (247 nucleotides) under uncultured bacterium. RNAcentral's name for it is "partial 16S ribosomal RNA". It matches the Rfam family "Bacterial small subunit ribosomal RNA", at positions 92 to 334 of the family's 1533-position model. The record is from RNAcentral.